Molecule: ribosomal RNA, 1227 nt
Filed under: Escherichia coli
Lineage: Bacteria; Pseudomonadati; Pseudomonadota; Gammaproteobacteria; Enterobacterales; Enterobacteriaceae
Description: partial 23S ribosomal RNA
Rfam family: Bacterial large subunit ribosomal RNA
Source: RNAcentral
GUUAAGCGACUAAGCGUACACGGUGGAUGCCCUGGCAGUCAGAGGCGAUGAAGGACGUGCUAAUCUGCGAUAAGCGUCGGUAAGGUGAUAUGAACCGUUAUAACCGGCGAUUUCCGAAUGGGGAAACCCAGUGUGAUUCGUCACACUAUCAUUAACUGAAUCCAUAGGUUAAUGAGGCGAACCGGGGGAACUGAAACAUCUAAGUACCCCGAGGAAAAGAAAUCAACCGAGAUUCCCCCAGUAGCGGCGAGCGAACGGGGAGCAGCCCAGAGCCUGAAUCAGUGUGUGUGUUAGUGGAAGCGUCUGGAAAGGCGCGCGAUACAGGGUGACAGCCCCGUACACAAAAAUGCACAUGCUGUGAGCUCGAUGAGUAGGGCGGGACACGUGGUAUCCUGUCUGAAUAUGGGGGGACCAUCCUCCAAGGCUAAAUACUCCUGACUGACCGAUAGUGAACCAGUACCGUGAGGGAAAGGCGAAAAGAACCCCGGCGAGGGGAGUGAAAAAGAACCUGAAACCGUGUACGUACAAGCAGUGGGAGCACGCUUAGGCGUGUGACUGCGUACCUUUUGUAUAAUGGGUCAGCGACUUAUAUUCUGUAGCAAGGUUAACCGAAUAGGGGAGCCGAAGGGAAACCGAGUCUUAACUGGGCGUUAAGUUGCAGGGUAUAGACCCGAAACCCGGUGAUCUAGCCAUGGGCAGGUUGAAGGUUGGGUAACACUAACUGGAGGACCGAACCGACUAAUGUUGAAAAAUUAGCGGAUGACUUGUGGCUGGGGGUGAAAGGCCAAUCAAACCGGGAGAUAGCUGGUUCUCCCCGAAAGCUAUUUAGGUAGCGCCUCGUGAAUUCAUCUCCGGGGGUAGAGCACUGUUUCGGCAAGGGGGUCAUCCCGACUUACCAACCCGAUGCAAACUGCGAAUACCGGAGAAUGUUAUCACGGGAGACACACGGCGGGUGCUAACGUCCGUCGUGAAGAGGGAAACAACCCAGACCGCCAGCUAAGGUCCCAAAGUCAUGGUUAAGUGGGAAACGAUGUGGGAAGGCCCAGACAGCCAGGAUGUUGGCUUAGAAGCAGCCAUCAUUUAAAGAAAGCGUAAUAGCUCACUGGUCGAGUCGGCCUGCGCGGAAGAUGUAACGGGGCUAAACCAUGCACCGAAGCUGCGGCAGCGACGCUGAUGCGUUGUUGGGUAGGGGAGCGUUCUGUAAGCCUGCGAAGGUGUGCUGUGAGG